Non-coding RNA from Oleoguttula sp. CCFEE 5521, 101 nucleotides. Lineage: Eukaryota; Fungi; Ascomycota; Dothideomycetes; Mycosphaerellales; Teratosphaeriaceae. The record is from the annotation of a GenBank genome assembly.
GCUCCCUUGACGCAGUGGCUAGCGUGCCGUUCUUAUACAUGCGCCUGCGGGACCUGUAUGAAGCUAUGCGGAAGUCGUGAGUUCGACCCUCACAGGGAGCA